ACUUAUCAAGGACUUCGUCUUUGUGGNCACUACUCGUUGUAUUUAGUUUGGUAUUGCUACUGCACAUGACUUCGAGAGUCAUGAUGAUAUUACUGAAGAACAUCUUUAUUAGAAUAUUUUUGCUUCUCACUUCGGUCAAUUAGCAAUAAUUUUUCUGUGGACUUUCGAAAAUCUAUUUCAUGUAGUUUAGCAAGGAAAUUUUGAAUCAUGGGUACAGGACCCUUUACAUGUAAGACCUAUUGCUUAUGCAAUUUGGGAUCCUCAUUUUGGUCAAACGGCUGUGGAAGCUUUUACUCGAGGAGGUACUCUUGGCCCAAUGAAUAUUGCUUAUUUUGGUGUUUGUCAGUGGUGUAUACAAUCGGUUUAUGCCCUAAUGAAGAUCUUUAUACUGGUGCUCUUUUUCUAUUAUUUUUUCUUCCAUAUCCUUAAUAGCAGGUUGGUUACACCUACAACCAAAAUGGAAAUCGAGCGUUUCGUGGUUCAAAAAUGUCGAAUCUCAUCUAAAUCAUCGUUUGUCAGGACUCUUUGACGUAAGCUCCUUGGCUUUGAGCAUUUAGUACAUGUCGCUAUUCCUAGAUCCAAAGGGGAGUAUGUUAGCUGGCACCUU
RNAcentral lists this long non-coding RNA (607 nucleotides) under Olea europaea subsp. europaea. The record is from RNAcentral. Lineage: Eukaryota; Viridiplantae; Streptophyta; Magnoliopsida; Lamiales; Oleaceae.